This 1393-nucleotide ribosomal RNA is filed under the name uncultured bacterium. Its description in RNAcentral is "bacterial SSU rRNA". It matches the Rfam family "Bacterial small subunit ribosomal RNA". The record is from RNAcentral.
AGAGUUUGAUCCUGGCUCAGGAUGAACGCUAGCGGCAGGCUUAACACAUGCAAGUCGAGGGGCAGCAUGUCCAGCAAUGGAUGAUGGCGACCGGCGGAAGGGUGCGUAACGCGUGAGCAACAUGCCCUAUACAGGGAGAUACACCAGGGAAACUUGGUCUAAUAUCCCAUAGCAUUCAUUGAAGGCAUCUUUAAUGAAUUAAAGCUUCGGUGGUAUAGGAUUGGCUCGCGUGACAUUAGCCAGAUGGUGAGGUAACGGCUCACCAUAGCAAUGAUGUCUAGGGGUUUUGAGAGGAAGGCCCCCCACACUGGGACUGAGACACGGCCCAGACUCCUACGGGAGGCAGCAGUGAGGAAUAUUGGACAAUGGAUGGAAAUCUGAUCCAGCCAUGCCGCGUGCAGGAAGACGGCCUUAUGGGUUGUAAACUGCUUUUAUACGGGAGCAAUAAGGGUUACGAGUAAUCCGAUGAGAGUACUGUAUGAAUAAGGAUCGGCUAACUCCGUGCCAGCAGCCGCGGUAAUACGGAGGAUCCGAGCGUUAUCCGGAAUUAUUGGGUUUAAAGGGUGCGUAGGCGGCCAUUUAAGUCAGCGGUGAAAUUUUGCAGCUUAACUGUAACAGUGCCGUUGAUACUGUUUGGCUAGGAUUUGGUUGUAGUGUGCGGAAUGUGUGGUGUAGCGGUGAAAUGCUUAGAUAUCACACAGAACACCGAUUGCGAAGGCAGCACACUAAGUCAUUAUUGACGCUGAGGCACGAAAGUGUGGGGAUCAAACAGGAUUAGAUACCCUGGUAGUCCACACUGUAAACGAUGAUUACUGGUUGUUUGCGAUACACUGCAAGUGACUGAGCGAAAGCAUUAAGUAAUCCACCUGGGGAGUACGUCGGCAACGAUGAAACUCAAAGGAAUUGACGGGGGCCCGCACAAGCGGAGGAGCAUGUGGUUUAAUUCGAUGAUACGCGAGAAACCUUACCAGGGCUUGACAUGCGCCGGCAUCGCGUCGAAAGGCGCGCGCCCCUCGGGGCCGGCGCACAGGUGCUGCAUGGCUGUCGUCAGCUCGUGCUGUGAAGUGUUGGGUUAAGUCCCGCAACGAGCGCAACCCCUGCCGUCUGUUGCCACCACCUUGGGUGGGCACUCAGGCGGGACCGCCGGUGACAAACCGGAGGAAGGUGGGGACGACGUCAAGUCAUCAUGGUCCUUAUGUCCAGGGCUACACACGUGCUACAAUGGUUGGUACAAAGAGCAGCGAGACAGUAAUGUUAAGCGAAUCUCAUAAAGCCAAUCUCAGUUCGGAUUGAGGUCUGCAACUCGACCUCAUGAAGUCGGAAUCGCUAGUAAUCGUGCGUCAGAACAGCACGGUGAAUACGUUCCCGGGUCUUGUACUCACCGCCCGUCAAG